This 85-nucleotide transfer RNA is filed under the name Entamoeba terrapinae. RNAcentral describes it as "tRNA-Tyr". It matches the Rfam family "tRNA". Rfam says of the family: Transfer RNA (tRNA) molecules are approximately 80 nucleotides in length. Their secondary structure includes four short double-helical elements and three loops (D, anti-codon, and T loops). The record is from RNAcentral. Lineage: Eukaryota; Evosea; Mastigamoebida; Endamoebidae.
CCGACCAUAGCUCAGUUGGUAGAGCGGAGGACUGUAGUUGGUAAUAGAUUUCCUUAGGUCACUGGUUCGAAUCCGGUUGGUCGGA